RNAcentral lists this ribosomal RNA (253 nucleotides) under uncultured bacterium. RNAcentral describes it as "partial 16S ribosomal RNA". It matches the Rfam family "Bacterial small subunit ribosomal RNA", at positions 524 to 776 of the family's 1533-position model. The record is from RNAcentral.
UACAGAGGGUGCGAGCGUUAAUCGGAAUUAUUGGGCGUAAAGCGCGCGCAGGCGGUUUCUUAAGUCUGAUGUGAAAGCCCACGGCUCAACCGUGGAGGGUCAUUGGAAACUGGGGAACUUGAGUGCAGAAGAGAAAAGCGGAAUUCCACGUGUAGCGGUGAAAUGCGUAGAGAUGUGGAGGAACACCAGUGGCGAAGGCGGCUUUUUGGUCUGUAACUGACGCUGAGGCGCGAAAGCGUGGGGAGCAAACAGG